This 194-nucleotide ribosomal RNA is filed under the name uncultured Pseudomonas sp. Its description in RNAcentral is "partial 16S ribosomal RNA". It matches the Rfam family "Bacterial small subunit ribosomal RNA", at positions 338 to 524 of the family's 1533-position model. The record is from RNAcentral. Lineage: Bacteria; Pseudomonadati; Pseudomonadota; Gammaproteobacteria; Pseudomonadales; Pseudomonadaceae.
CCUACGGGAGGCAGCAGUGGGGAAUAUUGGACAAUGGGCGAAAGCCUGAUCCAGCCAUGCCGCGUGUGUGAAGAAGGUCUUCGGAUUGUAAAGCACUUUAAGCUGGGAGGAAGGGCAGUAAGUUAAUACCUUGCUGUUUUGACGUUACCAGCAGAAUAAGCACCGGCUAACUUCGUGCCAGCAGCCACGGUAAU